This is an RNA transcript of Triticum dicoccoides, 2079 nucleotides long. It is a transcript of the gene named transcription factor bHLH81-like, with no coding region annotated. The record is from RefSeq and is a predicted model, not a curated record. NCBI's taxonomy places the organism in Eukaryota, Viridiplantae, Streptophyta, Magnoliopsida, Poales, Poaceae. The transcript is spliced from 11 exons.
AGGAGAUUGAUAGACAGUGUGAGAACUGGUACAUAAAAUAAUUUCUUCUGAAUCACAUAGUGGUUCCUAACAUUUAGCAUUUCUAAAAUUUGCCAUUUUUAGCUAGAUCCAAAAUGCAGAGAGGCAAGGUUUAUUUUCCUGGAGGUCCUAUAUUGCAGCUGGUGCUAUUUUGUUAUGUCAAAUUGUGUAUUUUUCCAGCUUCCCUUCCUCAUGUAUGAGCUUGUCUAUGGUGGGAUGGGGAUUCGGAGGAUAAAUGUUAUGGCAGUAAGGAGGUCAAGCGUGAGACGUCACAUGUCAAGGGGAUUUACUAUUUAGUCUCUUCUAAUCAGGUGAAGAGAUACUGCUGGUUUAAACGGAAUCCAUACUUUAACAUGAUUUCUCCCAAUUCAACAAAGUCAGGUACUACUCAUGUUCUUUCAUGCUAUGGAGCUACUCGAGGCAGCAGAACAUUAUCCCACACGGAGAUGGGGAUGGCCAUGCCCGUGCUGAUGCCGUCGGCCGUCGGUGAGAGCAUCACCGUCAACAACGGCUCCAGCGACCUCUCCAGGAGCUUCUCCAUGAGCUCCUCGGGUGACACCAACUCCAACAUCAUGUUCUUCACGCCCGGAAGCAAAAAAGCGAAGGUGCUCAUCGACAGCGACGAUGGCAUGGUCACCAGCCUCAGCAAAAUCGAAUCCCAAUUUGGCAUGUCAACCACGUCUUUAGACAUGUCCGGCAUGGACGACUAUCUGCAGCUGCAGCAAUACUUCAUCGCCUACACAGUCUGCACCAAGCGUGGCUGCGCCACUCACCCACGAAGCAUCGCUGAGAGGAUUAGAAAGAAGAGCAAGGAAUAGCAAGAGGCUAAGGAGGCUGCAAGACCUCGUGCCCAAUAUGGACAAGAGUAUCAAAGCUUCUUCUAGAUCAAAGAAAGCUAAUCCAGAAUCAACCAUAGUCAGUGCAAGAAGGUUAUACAGGGCAGAUGAUAUUUCAUCAGAGAGGUAUACUACAGUGAAAAUAUAAUAAGUGUGCCAGUUUGUGAUGGUUGAGGGGAAAUGUGAGGUUAUAGCAAAGAAUGACAUUCCAAAUUCAAAUCUUCCGGUAGUGGUUGAGCAUGCCUUUUACUGUGAACAUUUAUAUGAUCCUGAUGCUGGAGCUCUUAAGCAGCUACCGACAAAUGUUAAGCUCAUGACCUUGACAAGGAAGGCGCAUGCUGCAAAAAAGAAUGAAGGCAAGUAGAUUUGUGACGAUGAGCAAGCUGGUUCAGACAAACAGAACGCAACACCAGAGAACUGUCUUGCAACCCUUGAUAUUUUUGCUGGCUGUGGAGGUUUGUCUGAAGGGUAGUAGCUAUCUGUACUGGCGCACCAUGUACAAAUUGGGCAAUUGGAUAUGAAGAACCUGCCAGGCAAGCAUUUGGUGAAAAUCAUCCAGAGGCAGUGGCAUUAGUGGAGAACUGCAAUGUGAUUCUAAAGUUGUGGUCAGGGAGGCAAAGCGAAGGGCAACCUCCGGAAGAGUGGUGUGAGUAGAGGGUGUCGCGGAAGAGUGUCACGCAAAUAAGUGGGUGGGGGAAGGAAGCAGAGCAGGCAAUGCCCCUAUUUAUAUUUGGCGUUGGCAUGUCCAGAUCGAUGGGCCAAAGCUCAUUUAGGAAGUGAUGAAUCGAACAAGGAGGAAGGGUAACACGAUGACGUGUUUGGUCUUCAGCCAUUUCUUUACUAAGAAACCCAGGUUAGGAUUGUCUAAAUGUCCAGAAGCUCAAUCUUACUACUAAAUGUAGUUAUUCGCUUCAUUAGUGGAAUGGCUAUCUUCUAUCGUCAGAUCUAUGAUACAAGACUAAGUUUUUCUAUGAUUUGUAUUAGUGUGAUCCAUACAUUAAAUGGUGAAGGAUUACUACUACUAUAUCAGUUUAGGUCUAAUCUAGAGUUUAGACUUCCAUUUUUUGCGGGGAUCUAGAGUUUAGGCUUGACUAAUCUUUAUAGCAGUUUGUUCAUGUGAAAAUUAUGACUGAUACAAACUAGAUGUUAUUAUAUAAUAUCGGGACAAGAUACUAACCUACCAUUAUGCAAAAAAGAAAAACAUAAUACUGAUCUGCCGCUAACA